Molecule: RNA transcript, 2794 nt
Organism: Drosophila serrata
Lineage: Eukaryota; Metazoa; Arthropoda; Insecta; Diptera; Drosophilidae
Gene: Pten
Gene name: phosphatase and tensin-like protein
Source: RefSeq, a predicted model, not a curated record
UUGCUAGCCCUAAAACUACUAUCACCUCUAGAUUUGUGGAUCUCACGCUUGAUAAAUUAAAAUACAUUUAAUAGAGCAUGAGCUAUUGUUUAAGUUUUACACAUAAUUUAAAAGUUUUUAUUUGGAAUUUCGUGGCUUAAUGUAUAACAUGUGAUAACUUUUUAAGAUGCAGUAACAGAAACUCGUUCGGUUGGAACCCAAAUACAUUUAGCUUAUUGACUUAAACAUACCCAUAUGCACAUACAUACAUAACAUACAUAUGUAUUAAAGAGUAGGCCCAUAUAUUCGUGUGGUGCCUGUGCUGCUGAUAGUGUAAAUGUGUAAAAUGUCUGUGGAUUCUGCUGUAAAUAUGUUUUUAUUUAAACAAAUAUGUACAUAAUUGCACGAAAAAUCUGUGCAUAUAUGCGCACAUGCCCAUGCAUAUCUGCAUAUUUCUCUACAUGCAUAUGUGUGUGCUCUAACUACAAUACAUACCACCAUUCGCAAACAGUUUGUCCAAAAAGUGUGUGUCUACUACAAGAUAAAACAAAAAGAAAAGUAAAAAACAGUUGCUGUUGCCAAAAUCAUGUCGCUAUGUUAAGUAAUUUAGAUUAAUUCGGUGUUCUCUAACAAGGAUUUCGAUUGUUUUAAAACAAGCGCAGUUUCGUUCGGUUCAUUCAGUGCACCAAUUAAAUUCAUCAAAUUCCGUACAUUGUGCAUUGACUUCAAUAAGAACGAUAUACGAUAUAUAAUAUUGGCAAGUUGAACAAUAAUAAUUCGGCCAAUAAAUGUAUUUUGCUAAGAGGAAAAUGAUUAUUUUGUUUAUCAUUGAUAAAAUCCCUAAACAUAACCUCAAAUAUUGAUAUGGAAAAAUAGUCGUAGUCGUAAAUGGAUUUCCAAAUAGAUUUUUGAAUGGAUGCAGCUAAAAUAAUUUGAUCAAGUCUUUUAACUUACAAAACUAUGGCAAACACCAUUUCGUUAAUGUCGAACGCGAUACGCAAUGUAGUGAGCAAAAAACGUAUACGAUAUAAGGAGAAGGGAUACAACCUGGAUCUUACUUACAUUGACGAGCGCAUCAUUGCCAUGGGAUAUCCAGCGCCCGAUAUACUAGAGGGAAUAUAUCGAAACCGCUUUGAAGACGUAUACAAGUUUCUGGAGGAGAAUCAUGGCCAACAUUACAAGAUAUACAAUCUUUGCCCAGAGCGCAACUACGACAUCUCCAAGUUUCACGGAAGAGUGGGUAUCUUUCCAUUCGAAGACCAUAACCCUCCAACUAUCGAGUUAAUACAACGAUUCUGCAAAGACGUUGACCUGUGGCUAAAGGAAAACGAUGCUAAUGUUGUGGCCAUACAUUGCAAAGCGGGCAAAGGAAGAACCGGAACCAUGAUUUGUGCAUAUUUACUGUAUAGCGGAUUAAAGAAGUCCGCCGAUGAGGCAUUAGCGUGGUAUGAUGAGAAGCGUACAAAGGAUGGUAAAGGUGUGACAAUCCCAUCUCAGCGUCGAUAUGUUCAGUAUUUUUCCAAAUUAGUUUGUUCAAGUGUUCCAUAUUCGAAAAUAAGCCUUAACGUCUGUGAAAUACGAUUCUCGGUGUCCAGUUUUCUGCAAAAUUUAGGAACGGUUGAAUGCUCAGUAUCUGUAUUAACCGACUCAGCUACUGAAAAUGUUAAGCCAGAAAGACUGAAAACCUGGACGAUUGAUUUCCAGAAAUCAUUUGUAUUGACCAGUAGUCCAUCUUUUGCAGUUGCCGGUGAUUUAAAAUUUGAACUAGCACAAAAAUCCUCAAGAAAGAUAGUUUGUCACUUCUGGCUGAAUACAUUUUUUGUGCAAAAUUCUUCAAAUUGUGAAGCCGAGGGAUCAGUUAAUAAAUAUACACUCACUUUAAGCAAAUCGGAAAUUGAUGAUGUUCACAAGGACAGGAAACAUAAAUUUUCAGAGGAUUUCAAGUUUACAAUCAUAUUUGAGGCAGAUAAUUAUUGCAAUAAUGUGCAAGCUGAACAACCCUCAGAGUUGGAGAAGAACGACAACGUUUUACACAACUGUUUUCUUAAGAAAAAAGCCCUGAGUGCGAUCGUCAAUGAGAAUAAUACAUCGAAAAGUCAAACUAUAGAACCGUUAUUGGAUCAUAAGGAUCACAAUAUAGUUACUAAAAUUCAAUACGACACAUCAGCCAAUUCAAAAAACACUUGUUCUUCUUCGAGCGCGUCUAAACGCAAACAGCCCAAUAAUAGCAAGCCUCUUUCAUCCAGCUUGAAUGAUUCCAGCACAAGAGAGGAUAUAAAAAAGAAUCAUAUGUAUAAUAAUCAGCCGUCCAUUAAGAAAACCGAUUUAAUCACAUGGCAGAAUAGCGAUGUUCAUAUCACCAGCUCUUCUGACACUCGAAGUAUAAAUGAGAAUAAGAACAUCAAUUACAAUUCAUACAUCACAUGUAAUCAAUCCUCCAAUCCAAAAUUCAGCUGUGGCACCGAAGAAGGCGAGGAAGAUUGGGAAUCCGAAUAAUCAUCCGAGACGAUUUAAAAGACUUCUGGCUGAACGAUCUCUUAUUUUUUGCUGUAUAAAACGAAGCCACCAGAACUGGAUUGCAUAUAUGUUUAAAAUAUAUAUAGAAUAAUGGAUUUAUAUGUCCCCAAGACUUUGAGAGCAUAUAUGCUGGCAGAUAGGCUGUCCAAGAUCUGCUUCCUUCCUUUAAACGGGAAAAUGAUCGAAAACAGUGGGGCCCUGCACACAUCUGUUUAGAAUAUAAACAAAAUAGGUGAAUCAACAUACCUGUAAUCAAUGCUUAUUACGGACUUAUAAUUCUUGGUGAUUUAGCAAAGUA